RNAcentral lists this ribosomal RNA (244 nucleotides) under uncultured anaerobic ammonium-oxidizing bacterium. RNAcentral's name for it is "partial 16S ribosomal RNA". It matches the Rfam family "Bacterial small subunit ribosomal RNA", at positions 439 to 674 of the family's 1533-position model. The record is from RNAcentral.
GGAGUUAGGAAAUGUAGGUGCGAUCAUACCGUGCCUAUUUGACAAAGGCUCCAAAGGAAGCCACGGCUAACUCUGUGCCAGCAGCCGCGGUAAUACAGAGGUGGCAAGCGUUGUUCGGAAUUAUUGGGCGUAAAGAGCACGUAGGUGGAUUUGUUAGUCAGAUGUGAAAGCCUUUCGUUCAACGGAAGAAUUGCAUCUGAAACUACAAACCUUGAGUAUAGGAGGGGAGAGUGGAACUUCUGGU